UUUCCGUAGGUGAACCUGCGGAAGGAUCAUUACUGAGUUAGGGUCUUCCAGGCCCGACCUCCAACCCUUUGCCUACCUUACCUCUUGUUGCUUCGGCCGGCCCGUCCCCCCUAGACAUAGGGGUCGACCGCCGGAGGGCUCACGCCCUCUGGCCCGCGCCGGCCGAUGGCCUCCAACCAAAACUCUUGUUCAAUCGUGAAUUGUCUGAGUACAAAAACCAAAAUAAACCAAAAACUUUCAACAACGGAUCUCUUGGUUCUG
This 261-nucleotide unclassified non-coding RNA is filed under the name soil metagenome. RNAcentral's name for it is "partial contains small subunit ribosomal RNA, internal transcribed spacer 1, and 5.8S ribosomal RNA". The record is from RNAcentral.